UCAUGUUGUUAUCCUAUGGCGACUAUUAAGUAAAUUUUUGAAUAUGAUAAUAUAUAUUUUCUUGAUGGGAAACAUAAAUUUAGUUUGUUAUACGUAUUUCUGUGCCAACAUAAGAAUCCGUAAAGGAUGUAGAAAUUGUCAACUUUGUGUGUAACUUUGUUAGUACUUAAUACUGUUAUAUUCCCCUAAAGGUUGCUACACCUGGACGCCUUAUGGAUCAUGUAUCCAACACAAAAUGAUUUUCUCUUCGCACGUUGGAUUAUUUGUUAGAAGUAAUAAUGAAAUCUGAAGAUAUGUGUUUGGAGUCCGCUAAGGAGUUCUCCCGUGUUUGAUAAGGUCAAGAAGCUGCAAAGGGAGUCUUAACUCUUAAGGAACCCUGUG
This is a long non-coding RNA of Rosa chinensis, 381 nucleotides long. RefSeq lists it as uncharacterized. NCBI's taxonomy places the organism in Eukaryota, Viridiplantae, Streptophyta, Magnoliopsida, Rosales, Rosaceae. The record is from RefSeq and is a predicted model, not a curated record. The transcript is spliced from 3 exons.